RNAcentral lists this ribosomal RNA (107 nucleotides) under Candidatus Magasanikbacteria bacterium CG10_big_fil_rev_8_21_14_0_10_40_10. Lineage: Bacteria; Candidatus Magasanikiibacteriota. The record is from RNAcentral.
CUUGGUGUCUCAAGUGAUAGGGCCACACCUGUUCCCAUCCCGAACACAGCAGUUAAGCCUAUCUACGCCGAUGAUAGCCGCAAGGCAAAAGUAGGCCGACGCCAGGA